UAGGCACUCCUGUUUUCGCGCCCAAAUGUUGCAUUUUCCAAGACCACUCUGGCCUGCCACACCCCCUGAUCCUGUGCCUAUAAAAAACCCGGAGGCCCCAGCAGGCACACACACAGGUGGCUGGACAUCGAGAGGAACACACCAGUAGAAGAACACACCAGCAGAUGCUGGCAGGCUACUGAUGGCAGAACGACAGGGACGCCAAGGGGAAUUCGGCCAAGGGUGGGUGGUCUGAGGAGAUCCCCGCCACUGAGCAGCCAACCCCAGGGGAAGACUACCUUCCCACUUAAACCUCUUCUGUCUCCCCAUCAAUCUGCUGAGAACUGCUUCCACUACUCUACAAAACUUUGCACUCACUCUCCAAGACCACAUGUGAUCCGAUUUUUCUGGUACAGUAGGGCAAGAAUCCAGGGAUACAGAAGCCCUCUGUCCUUGCAAUUUAGCAGAGGCUCUGAUUGAACUGACUAACAAGCUGCCUGCGGACGGCUAAGCUGAAAGAGCAAACUGUAACACACGCCCACUGGGGCUCCAGGAACUGUAAACAACCAAUCCUAGAUGCUGCCGUGGGGUCGGAGCCCACGCUCUCCACCAUCUGCUCAUCGGCAUGCUUGUCCUAGGGGUUUGAGCAGUGGGGCACCGAAGAAGCAAGCCACACCGCUGUCACACACCCAGCAAGGAGUAUAAGGGAAAACUUCUCCCGUUUCGUUUAUAAUAUGAGCACUGACAAUAUAUGUCCAUGGAUAGAGCAGCAGAAAAGAGGAAGUACUAAAGAUGCUGGAUACCAGAAGUUAAUGAAGA
This 798-nucleotide long non-coding RNA is filed under the name Homo sapiens (human). Its description in RNAcentral is "HSALNT0128573". Lineage: Eukaryota; Metazoa; Chordata; Mammalia; Primates; Hominidae. The record is from RNAcentral.